Long non-coding RNA from Physella acuta, 1037 nucleotides. RefSeq lists it as uncharacterized. The record is from RefSeq and is a predicted model, not a curated record. Lineage: Eukaryota; Metazoa; Mollusca; Gastropoda; Physidae.
AGCCUAGAUCUAUUGGUCAAACGGUUAGAGUAUCCCAGUGUUCCUUCAAUCAUAGUUGGCGCACACUUGAAGUCAUAAUGAAACUACAUGGUCUAGAUACAAUCCAACCUACACACAUAAUAGCUGACCCAGAACUUCAUAUCAUAAGCUUGACGAAAUUGCAAUGCAAAAAUUCGGGGUUGGACUACAGUUAUGAGCCAGGAAACCGUACUUGAGACCAUACCUGACCAUGCAAUCCCGUAAAGCUGAACCAAUAAGGAGUUGCUGUGUAAGAACUCUUCUUUGUCCUGACCACUUUGUUAUAGGAACAUUAUACUGUAUUCAAGGGUUGGACUACAGUUAUGAACCAGGAAACCGUACUUGAGAUCUUACCUGACCAUGCAAUCCCGUAAAGCUGAACCAAUAAGGAGUUGCUGUGUAGGAACUCUUCUUUGUCCUGACCACUUUGUUAUAGGAACAUUAUACUGUAUUCAAUUAAAAGAAGAAAUAAUUUCUCUGGAAAAAUGCUGUUGAUGGCCUUUACCCCAAACACCUUCACCACCUGCCCGUCUAGAGUUCAAAGCAUUGUACAGAAAAGAGUGUGAUCUACUGAUGAACCAGUCCACUUUGAGUACAUUGUGAUUACCCUUCUAGUGUGUUGAUGUCUACCUAGUCAUUGUUUAUGACAAUUGCCAACCAUUAGGACACGGCCAAUUCCAUUAAUGUUGAUGAUUAAUAUUGUUAAUGUGUCAUAAAAUUCACUCACAAUAUUUGUGCUCAUUUAGUUAUAUACUAGCUUAAUAUAAGUCUGAUUUAAAAUGUAAUUUAUGCAUCUAGCUUAAACACAGCUGCUCUAUUAAGUUUGUUAAGAAUGUAUGUCUGACCUUAUAAAAAUUACUGUUCAGCAAUUGCUUCUUUACUUAGGUAAUAUUUCCACUAGUUUCACUUUAGUCAUAUUGUCUCUAACAUCCAGUCUUUUAAAUACAGAAUGUAUUGGCCUUAAGACACUGCUGUUCCUUCUUUUAGUUUAUAAUUGUUAAUAAUUGUUUUGAAAUGUA